AAGGUCUCAGCGUAAUUCUAGAGCUAAAGUGUGAUUACACAUCAGCAGAAUUCAGAUAAUACAUGCCAACACAUCAUCGACC
This 82-nucleotide small nucleolar RNA is filed under the name Cricetulus griseus (Chinese hamster). RNAcentral describes it as "Small nucleolar RNA SNORD45". The record is from RNAcentral. Lineage: Eukaryota; Metazoa; Chordata; Mammalia; Rodentia; Cricetidae.